UGAAGAGUGAUGCUUUUUGAAGAUGGGAAUGAGCAGACUUGAUGGGACCAAGCUUUGAGGUGCACGUUGGUCCAAUCUUGUUGCAGGAUUGUCUGGAAGAGGAUGGCCAUGUCACAGGCCUCAGAGGAGUCCCUAGGAGGGGCCACCAAGUGAGGGUCCUUGGCUUCACACAGAAGAGAACUCAAGAGUGAGCCGUGGUAUCAAGUGGAAGCAUGGAGGCAAAACUGAAGUAGGAGGGGGAAGCUGCCAAAAUCACCGUGAAACCAAGUCCCU
Budorcas taxicolor (takin) is the source of this 273-nucleotide long non-coding RNA. RefSeq lists it as uncharacterized. The transcript has 3 exons. Lineage: Eukaryota; Metazoa; Chordata; Mammalia; Artiodactyla; Bovidae. The record is from RefSeq and is a predicted model, not a curated record.